This 4076-nucleotide long non-coding RNA is filed under the name Bemisia tabaci. Its description in RNAcentral is "lncRNA ENSSSA1UGG006952". Lineage: Eukaryota; Metazoa; Arthropoda; Insecta; Hemiptera; Aleyrodidae. The record is from RNAcentral.
CAGACGGAUACCGGAAACACUUGAAAGCGUCGUGAGGUCCAUCAACGUCUUCACGACACCCAUUCACAGUGACCAGGACGCUUUGGCUCGUGGCCCGUCGCCGUCAUUUCCAGCUCAUUUUAUUUUUCAUUUUUUCCCCUCGCCUUGAACUGCAUCGGGCCGGGCGAAUGCCGAAUAGUGCAGCCGCGGGACACGGCGGGAGACAGGAGGGAGGUGCUAUAAAACCGGCGCUCGGCCGGGAUCAGGGCUUCACAGUCAUUAGUUCUAGUGGUCCACGUGCUCCGUUCCCGAAAUCAGUUCGUCGACCUCUGACUCCAUUGCACCUCCGUCAAGAUGAACAAAGUAGUUCUGACCCUGUUUUUCGCAUUGCUGUUGACGCUGGCAACGGCAUCCCUCGGUGACAAUAUUCCCAGCCAAAUGGGCAAAGAAGUCCAGAUCGAUCAAGGCGGACUUCCACCCGGCGACGGACACCACCCCGGCGACGGACACGAUCACUCCAGCCACGGACACAACCACGGGGACGGACACCAUCCCGGCGACGGACACAAUCACUAAUGCAAACAACUCCAAUUACAAAGCUGCUCAUAUUGAAAUCAUUGGCGGAUCCAUCAAAGUGGCAACAUUGUUUGUUCUCCGUUUAAACCCAUGGAAAUAUAUCGAUUCUUGAAGGGUCCAAGCACUCCGACAGGAAUCGAUUAUUAAACAUAGGAUUAAAUGUAGGAAAUCCUGUGUUGCCAAAUGGCUGGAUCCGCCCCUGAUUAAAUUAAGCUAAGAUUUAAGACGAGCUUUUCAAGUCUGGCCUGUCGAAAGACCAUCUUCAUCAACCGAUUUUCACUUGUGAUGCAUCAUCAUUUGGACAACAUUUUGCAAUUUGGAGCUAUAAACUCUAACCCGGUUUGAAAACAACGUAUGUGCCAUUAGAUUCCCUAUGCAUGUACGUGUUUCCCAGAAGAGUCAGCAUUUAUAGUUCCAAAUUGCAAAAUGCAGUACUUUUGGGCUACUUUUUCCAAUAUGUGUAAACACUUAUGUGCGUAGGAAAACCAAUGGUAUAUACGCUAUUUUUAAAGUGGCCAGAUACUGCAGUUCCCAAUUUCAAAAUGUAGCUCAUUUUACCACCUGAUUUUCCCGGCAAAGUCAACCACUGAGGUGUGUAGAUUUCUAAAUACAUGGGAAAUGACCAUUUUCAGUUCUUGAUUCGCUUCGAAUACGCUUCUCUGCGCUUUAGUGAAAUACAGAAUUUCAAAGAAAGUACCUAGUUGUGUUUGAUUCAUUUACACCUUUCCUUGCAGCGGACUUACUUUUAAAACUGGUAGAAAAAGUUUCAGACGAAGAAAGCCAAAAGAAAAUGGAGUGAUCCUAUUAGUUGAAGGUAUAUGGUUUCGUCGUGGAAUUGCUGUUGGUUGAUUACUGGAAUGUGUAAAUUUUUGAAUGGGAAAAAGUCACUUCUCAGUUUUUGAUUUGUUUCGAAUAUACUUUACUGAGUUUUAGCGAAGUAAAAAAUUUGAAAGAGUGGAAUAAAAUUAUGUUUGAGUCAUUCAGAACUUCCCUCGCAGCGGGCUCGUCAUUGAAACUGAUAGACAGAGAAUACAAAGGAAAAAUGAAGCAAUUCUAUUAGUCGAAGCUAAAUGGUCUCAUCGUGGAUGCAGGGAGCAUAGUAGACUUUGCUCUCUUGGUUUCAAGAUGUCUCACUUUUGACAUCCAUGAUGCGAUACUAGCAUAUUACCCUUGUUUGUUGGUGUAAUUGAACGUAUUUUUGCCCCCCCCCCCAAAAAAAAAAACAUGUCUCACGCAAUUCUUAUGCACAUAGCUCUUUUUACCAUAAAUACGGCCAAUUAUUCUGGGUGGCGGUAGCCACUCCGGCCCAAUCCUAAAAAACUUCCCCUAAAAAUUUGACGUCCUUAAAAAAAAAAAAGAAAAAAAAAAAGACGGGUGGCUGCUGCCUAACUAGUUAUACACGAAGAAACGCAAUCGGGCUUUUCUGCACGGUUUGCGGCCCAUUUGGCUCUUCUGCUAAUUAUGUCGUGAAGUAAAGCCCAAAAAAAACCCUAUAAUAUUUGGGUAGAGUAUGCUCAGCUCUACUCGUAAUGCCCACCCUUUUUAAGUUUAGUUAAAUAUUAAAAAAGUUAUUAAGCUUUAACGACAAAUUUUGGACCCCGAAACAUGACGAUGAUGGAAUUGACCAAUCACUGAGCAUAUUGAGGGCAGAUUCGGGGCCCGCGAAACGCUCGGCGCCGGGAGACGGUUGUGUGUUUUUCAAUCGACUUACAGCUGUAACCGUAGAAAAAAACCCUAAAAAACUAUAGAUAUUUUGAAACUACUAAUUAUAAUUAUCAGGGGACACUAAGAAUCAAGAAACGAAAGCAUGUGCAAGGUCUGCCAAAUUUCCUUGCAAAAUGUUCCCUUGUUUUCGUAGGGCAGAGAAAAUUACGGGAAUGCCUAAGGAGUGUGAGAGUCAAGUCAAGUAGUUUUUUUUUGUUUGUUUUGUUUUUUUUUUGUUUGUUUGGAGAAAGUAAACAUAUAAAGGGGUAGGCAGACAAGGCUGCUAUGUGCAGUAUUCGCUUUUUCAAGAAAUAUUGUAUCAAAGUUUUUUUAAAAAUUCACCGAGCCUCAUGGUUGAAUUAGAGUUCGAACUCACUUUUGGAUGGUGAAAAAUUGGAAUUUGGUACUGAAUUUUGACAGAAGUUAUUUUAAGCUAGUUUAAGUUGAAAUCAUUCAUAAGUAUGUGACUUUUUUCAAAAACUGCAUAAAUGCUUCAGUUCUCCAAACCCUUCGUUAAAAAUAAUUGUGAAAUAAAUUGAGAUUUUGUAUUUUCUGAAAAGGAUAGAGUUGCACAAUCUUAGCAACAUUGCAGUGCUCCUGGUUCCUUUUUAAUAUAAAAUGUAAUCCAAAUAACAGUGAAAUAAAUUGGGACCUUUGCUUCUGGUCCAUUACUAUGACUAAAUCACUUUUCUAAUAGUCAAGACGAGACAAGAGAAAAACCUGCUUAUCUAUAAACAAUUGUUGUUUUACACCGUAAAAACUGUAAAUUUAACAAAAAAUUAGCAUGUAAAUUUCAUAUUUUUGCAUCAUUUCAGUACUUUUAUUGCAAAGGAUUAAGUUGCACAAUCUUAGCAACAUUGCAAUGCUCAUGGUUCCUUUAUGCGAAAUGAAAUCCAUACAAUAAUGGUGAAAUAUAUUGGGACUCUGUCUUCUGGUCCAUCACUAUGAUUGAAUCGCUGUUCUAGCAGUCAAAAGACAGAGUCAAGAAGGUUAGCUCUAGCUUGUAAGCUGCAGGUGCUGCCGUCUUUAAGAUCGAAGAUAAAAAAAUUUAACCUCUGCAUUUUUUUCCUUCUUUUCAGAAUCAGCAUAAAAUAUCAGAAACUGAUGGUGUUCAAAAAAUCAGAAACUCAAAACGCUCGCCAGUGACUUCUAGAAAAGAAAAAUCACCAGUGACUUCUAGAAAAGAAAAAUCACCAGUGACUUCUAGAAAAGAAAAAUCACCAGUGACUUGUCAAAUCGAAAAAAACAAAGUGGAUUCUGUAAGUUUUUUUUGAACAUAAUAGUUGACGAAAAUAUCCAAUUCAUCGUUCACAGACGGCUUGUCACUGUAUGGUCAAACACUCGAGCUGUUAGCGGGCAAAAAUGUUGAUAUUAGUUUUGUCGACACGAUAAAUAGACCAGGGCUACGUAUGUUUCUAGGAAUGGGACGAACGGUGUCAUUGACAACUUUUUUUGGAGGUACAAAAUAACAGCAAUAUAUUUUUUUAUAAAUCAUCUGCGUUGUUCAAACUUGACAGAGCGGGAUUUCCUGUGUCAAAAACGGCGGCGGCGACUCGGUCAUCGAAAAUCUAUGAGCGACCAGUUUAAUGAGCAGUAGACGAGAGUCAUAAAUGCAUUUAUUGUCGUAAAAUUUAACAUUUAUUGCGGAAAAAUUAGAUGUUUACCGAAAAUAAUACUUAAAACAGGUAAAAGUCUCUGCUUUGUUUAUGCCCCACUUUUCUGUGCGAGACGCUAAAAAAAUGACCCGAUUUACGAGUUAAUUUUUCGUGUCUGUUUAUCUAUGAGCAAAAAACAGUUCACACGGUCAGACCUCCAUG